RNAcentral lists this ribosomal RNA (253 nucleotides) under uncultured bacterium. Its description in RNAcentral is "partial 16S ribosomal RNA". It matches the Rfam family "Bacterial small subunit ribosomal RNA", at positions 524 to 776 of the family's 1533-position model. The record is from RNAcentral.
UACGUAGGUGGCAAGCGUUGUCCGGAUUUACUGGGCGUAAAGGAUGCGUAGGCGGACAUUUAAGUCAGAUGUGAAAUACCCGAGCUUAACUUGGGUGCUGCAUUUGAAACUGGGUGUCUAGAGUGCAGGAGAGGUAAGUGGAAUUCCUAGUGUAGCGGUGAAAUGCGUAGAGAUUAGGAAGAACACCAGUGGCGAAGGCGGCUCACUGGACCAUUACUGACGCUGAUGCACGAAAGCUAGGGGAGCAAACAGG